CAAAAAGAACACGCUCUCAUGGAGGAGAAAAGUGGCGACGGACGCUAAUUGAAAUUCACUGAAAUGAGUGGUCAAAAACUGCAUGACAUGUAACACAAAAAUGAGCAAAAUUAGAAAGAGAUCAGUUUUAUCAUAAAGUACAAUAGAGGUACUAAAUAAAGAAAGAAUAUCGACAGGAAAAUGUAUCAGGUUAUUUCCAUACAUGCUGUGUUGCUUAAUUGAGCGAAUUUCAGGGGCAUUUACACAUUUGACAAAACAGAGAGAGAUACAACUCACCUUAUCGCCAAUUACUUUUUUUACUCAUCACUCUCAGUUGUGAACUGUUAAAAAAAUAUUUAAAAGGAAAGGGUAAAAAGAUAUACUCCUUUCCAUGUAAGAUACUAUGUUAACAUUUGGUAAUAUUAAGUUUGUUUCCAAACCAAAAAUGCUUAUUCGGAUGAUGCGAUUAUCUAAUGCUGGUUGGGCCGCCAAUUGCACAUUUGUCAGGAUAUUUAGAAUAAUCCUUGAUGAAGCCCAGUAAAACCUUCAACUUCUAGUUUAGAGCUCAAGAUAAGAACCACUUAUAACCUUGAGUGUCUUUAUCAAGAUGGAGACUCAAAUUCUGCACAAGUAACCGGAAUAAGUACGCCAGAUUCCUCUGCAGGCAUUAGGACACAACUAGGUCGUACAAGUAGUUCUGGUCUUGCAUUUGUUUUAAAACACAUAGGGUACGCAUAAUGAGCAGAGAGGAAACCAUCACAAAAUGAAUAUUAUUCCACACUGAGGAUAGAAACGACAGUUUGAGGAUCCUGCAAUAUAAACACCUAUAAAAUUUGAGCAUUCUAAAUUUCUUUAAUCAGUCUCAGUUUGUUUAAAAUAUAAAGUUCAAGCGAGAUCAAAGUGACAUGACCAAAAGUACUACUAGCAACCGACAUGCUCAACUAUCUUUGGGCACAUGAUGAAACCGACUACAAGGCAGGCUGCAGUCCGCCGUUGCGUAAGAUCAUAUGACGUACACUAUAAAGUGGAGACUGUAGGAAGGGGCGCGCAAAGAUCUUCAAGUUCACUGUUCAAGUACGAAUGGGACCAACAGUGCAGGCAUCAACAAGACUUCUUAGGGGAAAUUUUACUAGAGUUGACCCAGCAAUUAUUACGACAAUGAAAAACUUAUCUGCCAAAGAUGAUUCCUAAUCAUUUGAAUAGCUAAAUUUGAUUAUCUAUGGUGUUCCAACAACAGAAAAGACAGCUUUCAGAAACUAAAUCAAUUAAUCAAGAGAUUAUAUAGUGGGUGUGUGACUGAUUGUAUAACACGCAACAUGUACAAUCAUCGUUGGCAAUUUUUUAGAAGAAAUAAAAUUCGGCAUUUUAGAACGGGGCUAAAUUCGACCAGAUCAGUCUGGCAAUUCCAAAAUGCAUCAUCAGGCACUGCCCGGAAAACCUAACUUUCCACGCACAAGUGCGAAUAAGUAAUUAUCAGUAACACAAAAACAAAGAGAUGCCACAUUUAUAACGUCCAACCUCGCUCCGUCAAAAAAUCACCACACACACCACCAGGGACAAAUCAUGCAGCCUCGGCCAAAUACCAGAGGAAUGGGGGGAGAGCGGGAUAACUAGCCACGAAGAAAAGAGGCCGGAGUUGAACCCUCACCUGCCACCCUGACUCGAGGAGAGACGCCAUGUGGUGGAGGCGGGGGGCGCCGCCGCCGACGACGACAAGAUCCGGGGGGAGAGUCUCCUACGGCGGGCAACAGAGCACGUAGACAGUGGCCAAGAGUGGGA
RNAcentral lists this long non-coding RNA (1758 nucleotides) under Spirodela polyrhiza (greater duckweed). Its description in RNAcentral is "long non-coding RNA (SPOL_LNC001505)". The record is from RNAcentral. Lineage: Eukaryota; Viridiplantae; Streptophyta; Magnoliopsida; Alismatales; Araceae.